RNAcentral lists this ribosomal RNA (253 nucleotides) under uncultured bacterium. Its description in RNAcentral is "partial 16S ribosomal RNA". It matches the Rfam family "Bacterial small subunit ribosomal RNA", at positions 524 to 776 of the family's 1533-position model. The record is from RNAcentral.
UACGUAGGGGGCAAGCGUUGUCCGGAUUUAUUGGGUUUAAAGGGUGCGUAGGUGGUCUAUUAAGUCAGUGCUGAAAUAUCCCGGCUUAACCGGGAGGGUGGCAUUGAUACUGAUGGACUUGAGUAAAGUUGAGGUAGGCGGAAUUGACGGUGUAGCGGUGAAAUGCUUAGAUAUCGUCAAGAACACCAGUGGCGAAGGCGGCUCACUGGCCCGAUACUGACGCUGAGGCACGAAAGCGUGGGGAGCAAACAGG